GACGAACGCUGGCGGCGUGCUUAACACAUGCAAGUCGAACGGAAAGGCCCUGCUUGCAGGGUACUCGAGUGGCGAACGGGUGAGUAACACGUGGGUGAUCUGCCCUGCACUUCGGGAUAAGCCUGGGAAACUGGGUCUAAUACCGGAUAGGAGCCAUUUUUAGUGUGAUGGUUGGAAAGUUUUUUCGGUGUAGGAUGAGCUCGCGGCCUAUCAGCUUGUUGGUGGGGUAAUGGCCUACCAAGGCGGCGACGGGUAGCCGGCCUGAGAGGGUGGACGGCCACAUUGGGACUGAGAUACGGCCCAGACUCCUACGGGAGGCAGCAGUGGGGAAUAUUGCACAAUGGGCGCAAGCCUGAUGCAGCGAAGCCGCGUGGGGGAUGACGGCCUUCGGGUUGUAAACUCCUUUCGCUAGGGACGAAGCUUUUUGUGACGGUACCUAGAUAAGAAGCACCGGCUAACUACGUG
This 465-nucleotide ribosomal RNA is filed under the name uncultured bacterium. Its description in RNAcentral is "partial 16S ribosomal RNA". It matches the Rfam family "Bacterial small subunit ribosomal RNA", at positions 28 to 507 of the family's 1533-position model. The record is from RNAcentral.